This 1782-nucleotide long non-coding RNA is filed under the name Canis lupus familiaris (dog). Its description in RNAcentral is "lncRNA (ENSCAFG00845022875.1)". Lineage: Eukaryota; Metazoa; Chordata; Mammalia; Carnivora; Canidae. The record is from RNAcentral.
AUGGAUUUGGGGCAGCUGCAGAGGGAGCCACAGAGUGAAGGGGCAGGGGAGCAGGUGGGGCAGGAGGGUCUUGAGGGGAUAGGGAGAGUUUGAGGGCUUCAGGGUGGACCGUGGUUUCUAGUGGUUUCUAGGAGAGGUAGGGGGUCCAGGUGGAGAGCCGGCGGGGAGUGGCAUCCCAUGCAACAGUAGCAGCGCCCAGAGGCCCCACGUCCCCAGGCCCCACAUGUGCACAGCCCCAGGUGCCGAGAGCAGCGUGCGUGUGCACCUGCAGGUGUAAAGAGCACCUGGCCACACACCUGUGAAGAGCCCGCCUUUUGUCCUUCCCACACAGGAAUGGCAGGCUCCCAGCUGCCCCCGCCACUUCUGCUGCUGGCUCUGGUGCUGCUGCUGGGGAAUUUCUCUUCACAGACACCUCCAGAGCAGACUCAAUGGAGCGGCGCCCCUAGUUCAGGGGAAGACUCCAUGAUCUCCCAUAGGUCUUCAAGUUCAGAGGCAAACCCCACCAUCCAGCCCAGCUCCAGCUCCACAAGUCCAGGGUUGGCGCCCACCUUCCCACAACCAGAAACAGUCACCCCCUCCCAGUUCUGGCUCCCCCAGUUCAGAGCUCACCACUACCUCCCACUCCGCAAAUUCCACCACCUUGACCCUGCAUUGGAGCUCCUCUUCUCCCAGCCCCAGAACAGAGCCCCCCUCCAUGCCCUCCAACACCACUGAUGGGACCUCUGUGGCCACUGGCCCUGGGAGCUGCGAGCCAAAGCUCAUCUUUUGCCCAUCACCCACCAGAGUGAUCUCCAUGGGGCUGAGAAGGAGGGGCGCUUGGAUGGAGCAGGCGCACCUGGGAGGGGCUAGCCUUGCCAGAAUAAAGCCCUUACUGUUCCUCUGUGGCCUCCUGAGUCAUGGACUCCUGUGACAAACAUCUAUGUGCUGGGGUCAGAGUGGGGACCAUUUCUCUACCCUCAUGGGGCCCAUAGUCUCAAAGGUGGGGACAGACGAUAGCCAGGGGCUCAAAUGACAUCAUUUCAGAUGGCACAGAGGGUCAUGGAGUCACAGAUUGGGGCUGUGGCCGCAUCCCAAGGGCCUAUGUGUGCAGGUUUUUUGAGAGGGUGGAGAGGGCUUGAUAUUUCAACCAAGACCUGAGAGGUGGGAAGGACCCUCCUUGGAGAAAGUUGAGAGAACGGGCGUCCCAGGAAGCAGGCACAGCAAGCACAAAGGCCCUGUGGUAGGAAGAACUUGAAAUAUUUGGGAAACGACAAAGAAGUGAGUGGAGUCAGAGUAGGGUGAGGGAGAGGUGAGUGGGGCACUGCACUGGCUAGGGGUUUUAGCCCAAACAUCACCAGCCAGUAAGUUCCACAAUCUGGUAGGUCUUCCUUCAAGUCUUUGGGAGGGCAGAUCGGCAGGGGGAGAAGGCUUUCCUGGGGCAGGAACAACCUGUGCAAAGGCUUGGAGGCAGGAAGGCACCAGAAGCAGGCUGAGAAUGGGGAGUCCAAAUGGCUCCCCCACCUGAUUGUCUCAGUUCUGUUUCCUUGGGUCUGAGCCCGGGGCCCCCACUUUCUCCCCUCCCAUUGCAUAGGAGGGAAAAUAGCGCAAGGAGGGGCAGGCCUGGGCUUAGGGACCUUUGGUGGGUUAGUGGGUUCCUCCUGCUUCCCACCGACCCCGUCCCCAGGAUCUUCCAGGCUUCUCUACCAGAGUGGGGACGAGGAGGCUCCAGGUUGUGCCUUGGCUGGGACUCUGGCGGGAGCUGUCCCCUCAAGGCUGGGCUUAUCCUUCUAUGAAAUGGGUGGU